RNAcentral lists this unclassified non-coding RNA (409 nucleotides) under soil metagenome. RNAcentral's name for it is "partial contains 5.8S ribosomal RNA, internal transcribed spacer 2, and large subunit ribosomal RNA". The stretch from base 1 to 121 matches the Rfam family "5.8S ribosomal RNA", at positions 35 to 154 of the family's 154-position model. The record is from RNAcentral.
GAUGAAGAACGUAGCGAAAUGCGAUAGGUAGUGUGAAUUGCAGAUGUAACGUGAAUCAUCGAAUCUUUGAACGCAAAUUGCACUCUCUGGUAUUCCGGGGAGUAUGCCUGUUUGAGGGUCGCCAAAUCAACAUCGAAAUUCAUUUGCUUUUGUAAAUGUUUAUCGGAUUUGAGCCGUCUUUUUUUAUCUUGUUAAUCAAAGUGGCUUAAAAUGUAUUUUUUUUGGUAUCGAAAAACGUUAUUUUACGAUCAAAUUGAUUAAAAAACAAACGUUUCGAAUGCCGCCUUUUAGUGUAAUACGUUUGACUGUGAUGGUUAAUCAUAGUUUCAUUCGUAUACGAUUUUUUAAUUUUUGACCUCAAAUCAGGUAAGAACACCCGCUGAACUUAAGCAUAUCAAUAAGCGGAGGA